Molecule: long non-coding RNA, 531 nt
Organism: Rosa chinensis
Lineage: Eukaryota; Viridiplantae; Streptophyta; Magnoliopsida; Rosales; Rosaceae
Exons: 3
Source: RefSeq, a predicted model, not a curated record
UAUAAUCUCUCUGUUCUGUAAACAGAUUGUACAGAAUAAUUCCUGAGCUUCCCAAGCAGUAGAAGAUCAAGAUUAUUAUGGGCCAGGUUCCUUCAUCACGCUUUCACACACCUGCUGAAGACCAGGGACCUAAGUCACCUAACCGUCUUCAAGCACAAGAGGCAGAAAGGCAAAGUAUAAAUAUUCCCCAUGGAGAGACGAGACAAUCAAUGAGUCCUUCGCAAUCUCUUUCAUCACACUAUUACCCACCCAAUGAAGACCAGGUACAUUUGAAUUCAUUUCGUUAGAAGUAAAACAAUUGAUGGGAAAACCUUUUAAAUAGAAUUUGUUCUCUUUUUUAUAUUAUUGCAUCUAUGGUGCAGGGUUACACCCAUCUUCAUGCAUUAGAGGCUGAAAGGCAGUGUAGAAAUAAUCAUCAAAGAGAGAGGCGACAGUUAUUGAGUUCUUCACAAGGAGCGGAAAUUUUAGCCCAAAGACGUGCCAACUAUCAGAUACAACGACAAAUGGAGAACACAAGUGUAACAAAUCAAG